This 28-nucleotide non-coding RNA is filed under the name Cricetulus griseus (Chinese hamster). Lineage: Eukaryota; Metazoa; Chordata; Mammalia; Rodentia; Cricetidae. The record is from RNAcentral.
GAAUAGUAGAUCUGAAUGUUACCCAUGG